UUGUUUGAUCAUGGCUCAGGACGAACGCUGGCGGCGUGCCUAAUACAUGCAAGUAGAACGCUUCUUACUUAGUGCUUGCACUAAGUAAGAAGAGUUGCGAACGGGUGAGUAACGCGUAGGUAACCUACCUUAUAGCGGGGGAUAACUAUUGGAAACGAUAGCUAAUACCGCAUAAGAAGAGUUAACACAUGUUAAUUCUUUAAAAGGGGCAAUUGCUCCACUAUGAGAUGGACCUGCGUUGUAUUAGCUAGUUGGUGAGGUAACGGCUCACCAAGGCAACGAUACAUAGCCGACCUGAGAGGGUGAUCGGCCACACUGGGACUGAGACACGGCCCAGACUCCUACGGGAGGCAGCAGUAGGGAAUCUUCGGCAAUGGACGAAAGUCUGACCGAGCAACGCCGCGUGAGUGAAGAAGGUUUUCGGAUCGUAAAGCUCUGUUGUUAGAGAAGAAUGAUGGUGGGAGUGGAAAAUCCACCAUGUGACGGUAACUAACCAGAAAGGGACGGCUAACUACGUGCCAGCAGCCGCGGUAAUACGUAGGUCUCGAGCGUUGUCCGGAUUUAUUGGGCGUAAAGCGAGCGCAGGCGGUUUGAUAAGUCUGAAGUUAAAGGCCGUGGCUCAACCAUGGUUCGCUUUGGAAACUGUCAAACUUGAGUGCAGAAGGGGAGAGUGGAAUUCCAUGUGUAGCGGUGAAAUGCGUAGAUAUAUGGAGGAACACCGGUGGCGAAAGCGGCUCUCUGGUCUGUAACUGACGCUGAGGCUCGAAAGCGUGGG
RNAcentral lists this ribosomal RNA (775 nucleotides) under uncultured bacterium. RNAcentral describes it as "bacterial SSU rRNA". It matches the Rfam family "Bacterial small subunit ribosomal RNA", at positions 9 to 765 of the family's 1533-position model. The record is from RNAcentral.